UACGGAGGAUGCAAGCGUUAUCCGGAAUGAUUGGGCGUAAAGCGUCCGCAGGUGGCUAUGUAAGUCUGCUGUUAAAGAGUGAGGCUCAACCUCAUAAAAGCAGUGGAAACUACUUGGCUAGAGUGCGUUCGGGGCAGAGGGAAUUCCUGGUGUAGCGGUGAAAUGCGUAGAUAUCAGGAAGAACACCGGUGGCGAAAGCGCUCUGCUAGGCCGCAACUGACACUGAGGGACGAAAGCUAGGGGAGCGAAUGGG
This 253-nucleotide ribosomal RNA is filed under the name uncultured bacterium. RNAcentral's name for it is "partial 16S ribosomal RNA". It matches the Rfam family "Bacterial small subunit ribosomal RNA", at positions 524 to 776 of the family's 1533-position model. The record is from RNAcentral.